RNAcentral lists this long non-coding RNA (208 nucleotides) under Elaeis guineensis (African oil palm). RNAcentral's name for it is "long non-coding RNA (EGUI_LNC046774)". Lineage: Eukaryota; Viridiplantae; Streptophyta; Magnoliopsida; Arecales; Arecaceae. The record is from RNAcentral.
AAUAUUUCAUAUUAUAAUCCUGCAAAUAACAACAUCUGAAUAAUUAAAAAUAAGAUAAUAAUAUCUAAAAAAUUAUUUUUAUAUAUCCGAUUCUGCACAAUGCACGAAUCUACGACUAAUUUAGAAUAGUAAUGAAUGAAUUUUCUUCAAAUAGUCUUUUUGACCUCCUACCCGUCAAAGUAUGCACUGUAGACUACCACUCGGCCAU